Molecule: ribosomal RNA, 407 nt
Filed under: uncultured bacterium
Lineage: Bacteria
Description: partial 16S ribosomal RNA
Rfam family: Bacterial small subunit ribosomal RNA
Source: RNAcentral
AUUGAACGCUGGCGGCAGGCCUAACACAUGCAAGUCGAGCGGAGCGGCGGACGGGUGAGUAAUGCCUAGGAAUCUGCCUGGUAGUGGGGGAUAACGUCCGGAAACGGGCGCUAAUACCGCAUACUAUCAGAUGAGCCUAGGUCGGAUGAGCUAGUUGGUGGGGUAAAGGCCACCAAAGGCGACGAUCCGUAACUGGUCUGAGAGGAUGAUCAGUCACACUGGAACUGAGAUACGGUCCAGACUCCUACGGUAGUCAGCAGUGGGGAAUAUUGGACAAUGGUCGAAAGCCUGAUCCAGCCAUGCCGCGUGUAUGAAGAAGGCCCUAGGGUUGUAAAGUACUUUCAGUCGGGAGGCGUUACCGACAGAAGAAGCACCGGCUAACUCCGUGCCAGCAGCCGCGGUAAUUC